CCUACGGGAGGCAGCAGUGAGGAAUAUUGGUCAAUGGCCGGAAGGCUGAACCAGCCAAGCCGCGUGAGGGAGGAAGGCGCAGAGCGUCGCAGACCUCUUUUGCCGGGGGACAAAAGGCCGGACUCGUCCGGUCCUGAGGGUACCCGGAGAAAAAGCAUCGGCUAACGCCGUGCCAGCAGCCGCGGUAAGACGGAGGAGGCGAGCGUUAUCCGGAUUUAUUGGGUGUAAAGGGAGCGUAGGUGGCUUGUUAAGUCAGUUGUGAAAGUUUGCGGCUCAACCGUCAAAUUGCCGUUGCAACUGGCAGUCUUGAGUACAGUAGAGUUGGGCGGACUUCGUUUUGUAGCGGUGCACUGCUUAGCUCUCAC
This 365-nucleotide ribosomal RNA is filed under the name uncultured bacterium. Its description in RNAcentral is "partial 16S ribosomal RNA". It matches the Rfam family "Bacterial small subunit ribosomal RNA", at positions 338 to 700 of the family's 1533-position model. The record is from RNAcentral.